RNAcentral lists this ribosomal RNA (305 nucleotides) under uncultured bacterium. RNAcentral describes it as "partial 16S ribosomal RNA". It matches the Rfam family "Bacterial small subunit ribosomal RNA", at positions 508 to 809 of the family's 1533-position model. The record is from RNAcentral.
ACAGCAGUCGCCGCGGGAAUACGUAGGGUGCAAGCGUUAAUCGGAAUUACUGGGCGUAAAGCGUGCGCAGGCGGUUAUAUAAGACAGAUGUGAAAUCCCCGGGCUCAACCUGGGAACUGCAUUUGUGACUGUAUAGCUAGAGUACGGCAGAGGGGGAUGGAAUUCCGCGUGUAGCAGUGAAAUGCGUAGAUAUGCGGAGGAACACCGAUGGCGAAGGCAAUCCCCUGGGCCUGUACUGACGCUCAUGCACGAAAGCGUGGGGAGCAAACAGGAUUAGAUACCCCAGUAGUCCCUGUCUCUUAUAA